This 266-nucleotide small RNA is filed under the name Oryza sativa Japonica Group (Japanese rice). RNAcentral describes it as "sRNA Os03g0117050". Lineage: Eukaryota; Viridiplantae; Streptophyta; Magnoliopsida; Poales; Poaceae. The record is from RNAcentral.
UAUAUGAUGUGGAAGCAACUCUACUCGCGCGUGCGCCUUGCUUGAGUGGACAGUUGGACACAUGAUCUUCGCCCAUGAUGAUUAGCUGCUCAAUUUGCCCGAUUGAUAGUCAAGUGUUCAUCGGCUGGUAGCGUGUCACCCUUUUAGCGUGAUGACGCACCAAACUGCCGUGGUGACAUAUGCAGUGUUAUGCCAUAGAUACUUAGUAUUAGUGAAGAACUAUUAUAACAUAUCUCUCUCAAAAGAAAUUAUUGUACUUCUAUUCU